This 327-nucleotide ribosomal RNA is filed under the name uncultured eukaryote. RNAcentral's name for it is "partial 18S ribosomal RNA". It matches the Rfam family "Eukaryotic small subunit ribosomal RNA", at positions 1470 to 1796 of the family's 1831-position model. The record is from RNAcentral.
CCCUUAGAUGUUCUGGGCCGCACGCGCGCUACACUGAUUCAUGCAACGAGUUUUGUCCUUGGCUGAAAGGCCUGGGUAAUCUUUGAACGUGAAUCGUGCUGGGGAUAGAUGAUUGCAAUUAUUCAUCUUCAACGAGGAAUUCCUAGUAAACGCAAGUCAUCAGCUUGCAUUGAUUACGUCCCUGCCCUUUGUACACACCGCCCGUCGCACCUACCGAUUGAAUGGUCCGGUGAAAUCUUCGGAUCUGAGAGAUGUUGGAUUAAUUUCUGACGUCUUUUGGAAAAGUCGCUUAAACCUUAUCAUUUAGAGGAAGGUGAAGUCGUANCA